RNAcentral lists this ribosomal RNA (316 nucleotides) under uncultured Pseudomonadota bacterium. Its description in RNAcentral is "bacterial SSU rRNA". It matches the Rfam family "Bacterial small subunit ribosomal RNA", at positions 28 to 351 of the family's 1533-position model. The record is from RNAcentral. Lineage: Bacteria; Pseudomonadati; Pseudomonadota.
GAUAAACGCUGGCGGUGUGCUUUAUGCAUGCAAGUCGAACGGGCUUUAGCAAUAAAGUCAGUGGCAGACGGGUGAGUAACACGUAAGUGACCUACCCUAAAGUGGGGAACAACUCCUAGAAAUGGGAGCUAAUACCGCAUGUGAUCCUUCUUUUUAAUUUGGAGGAUUAAAGCCGAAAGGCGCUUUUGGAGGGACUUGCGUCCGAUUAGAUUGUUGGUGGGGUAACGGCCUACCAAGUCUGCGAUCGGUAGCUGGUUUGAGAGGACGACCAGCCACACGGGGACUGAGACACGGCCCCGACUCCUACGGGAGGCAG